RNAcentral lists this transfer RNA (64 nucleotides) under Opisthotropis latouchii. RNAcentral describes it as "tRNA-Lys". The record is from RNAcentral. Lineage: Eukaryota; Metazoa; Chordata; Lepidosauria; Squamata; Natricidae.
CAUUGAGAAGCUUCUUAUAGCGUUAGCCUUUUAAGUUGAAGAAGAAAUACUGUUUCCUCAAUGA